ACGGAGGGGGCUAGCGUUGUUCGGAAUUAUUGGGCGUAAAGCGCGCGCAGGCGGUCCUUUAAGUCUGAUGUGAAAGCCCACGGCUCAACCGUGGAGGGUCAUUGGGAACUGGGGGACUUGAGUGCAGAAGAGGAAAGUGGAAUUCCACGUGUAGCGGUGAAAUGCGUAGAGAUGUGGAGGAACACCAGUGGCGAAGGCAGGUCUCUGGGCCGCAACUGACGCUGAGGAGCGAAAGCAUGGGGAGCGAACAGGA
RNAcentral lists this ribosomal RNA (253 nucleotides) under uncultured prokaryote. RNAcentral describes it as "partial 16S ribosomal RNA". It matches the Rfam family "Bacterial small subunit ribosomal RNA", at positions 525 to 777 of the family's 1533-position model. The record is from RNAcentral.